GUCACAUUGUGGCAUUUAAUUCAAAUCACUGCAGUGCACAUAAUUCUUUCUUUGAUUUAAUGCUGAAGUGCAGAAGUUUUUGUAUGAUUCCUAUCAUUACUAGUGAAGAGCGGUGUGAGUGAGAUGCUGGCAGAGGUCAUGCAGUGCACCGUGGUGAUUGAGUGUGUGGUCACAGGCACUGCUUGAACCCGAGCGCUGGCACCCAUCCAGCAGAACACCAACGCUGACCUCCACACACACACACACACACACACACACACACACACACACACACACACACACACACACACCUGCUGCUGAACGGCAUGGACAGCUACAUCACUGCAUGUCCCAAACAAAAUAUAUGGAAAUAUACUGGAAAAUAAAUGGAAACCCAAGUCUCUGGACUCAUCCACCUGAGAGCAGGAACAUUCCAGCGGAAGAAUGCUUUGUACAUGCAUGCACAGGAGGAGCUGAUUUGG
This is a long non-coding RNA of Cyprinus carpio (common carp), 461 nucleotides long. NCBI's taxonomy places the organism in Eukaryota, Metazoa, Chordata, Actinopteri, Cypriniformes, Cyprinidae. The record is from Ensembl.